GUGGGGAAUAUUGGACAAUGGGCGAAAGCCUGAUCCAGCCAUGCCGCGUGUGUGAAGAAGGUCUUCGGAUUGUAAAGCACUUUAAGUUGGGAGGAAGGGCAGUAAGUUAAUACCUUGCUGUUUUGACGUUACCAACAGAAUAAGCACCGGCUAACUUCGUGCCAGCAGCCGCGGUAAUACGAAGGGUGCAAGCGUUAAUCAGAAUUACUGGGCGUAAAGCGCGCGUAGGUGGUUUUGUAAGUUGGAGGUGAAAUCCCCGGGCUCAACCUGGGAACUGCCUCCAAAACUGCAUGACUAGAGUACGGUAGAGGGUAGUGGAAUUUCCUGUGUAGCGGUGAAAUGCGUAGAUAUAGGAAGGAACACCAGUGGCGAAGGCGACUACCUGGACUGAUACUGACACUGAGGUGCGAAAGCGUGGGGAGCAAACAGGAUUAGAUACCCGAGUAGUCC
Molecule: ribosomal RNA, 450 nt
Filed under: uncultured bacterium
Lineage: Bacteria
Description: partial 16S ribosomal RNA
Rfam family: Bacterial small subunit ribosomal RNA
Source: RNAcentral